Molecule: ribosomal RNA, 425 nt
Filed under: Neodon fuscus (Smokey vole)
Lineage: Eukaryota; Metazoa; Chordata; Mammalia; Rodentia; Cricetidae
Description: partial small subunit ribosomal RNA
Rfam family: Bacterial small subunit ribosomal RNA
Source: RNAcentral
UCUAAAAGCUUUUCAAACUGGGAUUAGAUACCCCACUAUGCUUAGCCCUAAACCUAAAUAAUUCAAUAACAAAAAUAUUUGCCUGAGAACUACUGGCCACAGCUUAAAACUCAAAGGACUUGGCGGUACUUUAUAUCCAUCUAGAGGAGCCUGUUCUAUAAUCGAUAAACCCCGUUAUACCUUACCACCCCUUGCUAAUACAGCCUAUAUACCGCCAUCUUCAGCAAACCCUAAAAGGGAGGAAAAGUAAGCAAGAGAAUCACCAUAAAAACGUUAGGUCAAGGUGUAGCCAAUGAGGUGGGAAGCAAUGGGCUACAUUUUCUUAUAAAGAACAUUACGCUACCCUUCAUGAAACUGAAGGACAAAGGAGGAUUUAGUAGUAAAUUAAGAAUAGAGAGCUUAAUGAAUAGAGCAAUAAGACUUGU